AGCUGGUAAAUCGGAACCAAAUCAUAUUACAAAUGGAUUUGGUCCCCUUCAACCAGCUGU
Molecule: microRNA precursor, 60 nt
Filed under: Saccoglossus kowalevskii
Lineage: Eukaryota; Metazoa; Hemichordata; Enteropneusta; Harrimaniidae
Description: Sko-Mir-133-v2_pre stem-loop
Rfam family: mir-133 microRNA precursor family
About the family: mir-133 was first experimentally characterised in mouse and homologues have since been discovered in several other species. The mature sequence is excised from the 3' arm of the hairpin.
Source: RNAcentral